UGCAGCCUGCAACUCGGUUGCAUGAAGCUGGAAUCGCUAGUAAUCGCGGAUCAGAAUGCCGCGGUGAAUACGUUCCCGGGUCUUGUACACACCGCCCGUCACACCAUGGGAGUCGGGAAUGCCCGAAGUCAGUGACCCAACCGGAAAGGGGGGAGCUGCCGAAGGCAGGCCUGGUAACUGGGGUGAAGUCGUAACAAGGUAGC
Molecule: ribosomal RNA, 203 nt
Filed under: uncultured bacterium
Lineage: Bacteria
Description: partial 16S ribosomal RNA
Rfam family: Bacterial small subunit ribosomal RNA
Source: RNAcentral